Molecule: long non-coding RNA, 1618 nt
Organism: Fukomys damarensis (Damara mole-rat)
Lineage: Eukaryota; Metazoa; Chordata; Mammalia; Rodentia; Bathyergidae
Source: Ensembl
GGGGAGAAGAAGCUGCGGUGGUAAUACCUCACCGUAUUACCACAAAUGCGUGCUGAGACUUUGGACUUCAUCCUGAAGGCUGUGGGUGUCAGCAGUUAUCUUUGACAAAAGACUUUCACUGAUAUUUAGUACUUGGAAGCAAUAUAACUGGAUUAGAAAGACUUUAGGAAUAAGGUUCAAAGAAGAGAGAUUCACAGCAGGUUCUUGCAGUAAUCUACACACAGAGAUGAUAAAAGUUGCACUAGGACCAUGGGUACCGAUGGAUUUGGAAGAAGUGGGAGGAUAUUUAUACCACGUGCUGUGGAUGAAAACUGUGCAGCGUGCGUAGGUUAAACUCUGGUUAUCCUCAUUUGUGAAUGAGAAAAUAACGAUGCAAACGUCAGAGGAGUCCUGACCAAGUUCUCCCGGUUGCCAAAUAUUGCUGGGGACUGAAAUGAAACCUCACGCUCCUGCAGUGAGACUUCCCCCGUUCCUGGCGCCUUAACACACUCAGCAUUCGCUGGCUGGCUCUCCGGCCGCCACCCCACCUCACCCCACAUCUACCUGGCGCCAGGUGGGUGUCUGACUGGGCAGGAAGCUUUCAUUCUUUGCAGUUAGCUCCGGGGGUAAUGACUGUGGCAGGAUGUGUUGGACAGCGAAAUCUACAUUCAGCAGACACGAGCCAUCACGGGGUUGGCAGCAUCCCUUCAGAGACCGGCCUCCCACUCCCCUCUCCAGAGCGCUGCACUGCUGGAUGUCUGCAGAGAAGAAAGCCAUGAAAAAUCUCAUCCAAUGCAAGUUUCAAAAUCUCCACGCUUGUUUUCUGGUUCUCAGUUUUACCUGGCACGGCCGCCCCCGGACUGCGGUGGAGGCGAGCCUCGGGCUUUGCAAAGCCAGUGCACGUCAUCAGCUGCUGAAAACUUCCAGGUUUGGAUGUAAUCGACACUCUGGUAAAGUACUUAAGCUAAUAAAGCUCUAACACUUCCCCCAGACUCCCUGCCAGCACCUCCCUGGCUGGGCAUGCACAGCCCCAAGGAGAAGCCUGAGCCCCUGGCUAGGGCGGUGACUGGCAUGUGACUCUGCCCGGGACCCUCACCAGAGGAGCCCGGACCUGCUGUGUUCACACCUCUGCCUUCCUUCCCCACGUGCUGCCCAAACACUUGGUCAAAAGGCUGCUUUCUCUGUCCUCAAAUUUCAGCCCAGGAAGGAGGUGACCUGCACCAGGUUACCCUGGCAGACUAGCCAGGGGCAGCUGUGGUGUGCUCCUGUCAUCUCUUCCUCUUUGUAGCAGUGGCAGGCUCUGUGCCAUGCGCCCUGUGCCACCUGGAUACAAGGAGCCUUUGCCCUCCUCCCAGGCAGCCCUCUCCCCUGGGUUGGGAAUGGUCCCAUCACGAGGACUCUUGUGGGUCUGGAUCAUUUCCUUGCAACUCACUGGACUUUGUCCCCCUCUGUCGCCCAACAAGAAGGAAAGUGACUACCUUGACCCACACACAGCAACCUCGGGGGCCGGGAGCUUCUCUUUCUGGGGCUCCCUCAGCUGCCAAGCAUUGAUUCCCUCAGAAGUCCCAGCAGCAUCUCCUCUCAGCUCCCCUCCACCCAAUGCAGACUCUGGGCCAGGAGACAGCAAUGACGAUGGACU